RNAcentral lists this ribosomal RNA (484 nucleotides) under uncultured bacterium. RNAcentral describes it as "partial 16S ribosomal RNA". It matches the Rfam family "Bacterial small subunit ribosomal RNA", at positions 28 to 523 of the family's 1533-position model. The record is from RNAcentral.
GAUGAACGCUGGCGGCGUGCUUAACACAUGCAAGUCGAACGGUGAAGCAGGAGCUUGCUCUUGUGGAUCAGUGGCGAACGGGUGAGUAACACGUGAGCAACCUGCCCCUGACUCUGGGAUAAGCGCUGGAAACGGCGUCUAAUACUGGAUAUGUGAUGUGACCGCAUGGUCUGCAUCUGGAAAGAAUUUCGGUUGGGGAUGGGCUCGCGGCCUAUCAGCUUGUUGGUGAGGUAAUGGCUCACCAAGGCGUCGACGGGUAGCCGGCCUGAGAGGGUGACCGGCCACACUGGGACUGGGACACGGCCCAGACUCCUACGGGAGGCAGCAGUGGGGAAUAUUGCACAAUGGGCGGAAGCCUGAUGCAGCAACGCCGCGUGAGGGAUGACGGGCUUCGGGUUGUAAACCCCUUUUAGCAGGGAAGAAGCGAAAGUGACGGUACCUGCAGAAAAAGCACCGGCUAACUACGUGCCAGCAGCCGCCGUAA